UCCAAAGGCCUGCUUCUGAAGCCCCUC
This 27-nucleotide non-coding RNA is filed under the name Homo sapiens (human). The record is from RNAcentral. Lineage: Eukaryota; Metazoa; Chordata; Mammalia; Primates; Hominidae.